UUUCUUCUUGACCUCCGAGCCUUUGCUCCUGUAGGCGCAAUGUCAAUGGAGCCAGGCCGCAGGGUACUCCUGGAAACAGGAGUGCCUCCCGUAAUUGGAAAGGAGGGAUCGAGCCUAAUCU
Non-coding RNA from Synergistales bacterium 53_16, 121 nucleotides. Lineage: Bacteria; Thermotogati; Synergistota; Synergistia; Synergistales. The record is from Rfam.